GUGGGGAAUAUUGCACAAUGGGGGAAACCCUGAUGCAGCGACGCCGCGUGAAGGAUGAAGUAUUUCGGUAUGUAAACUUCUAUCAGCAGGGAAGAAAAUGACGGUACCUGACUAAGAAGCCCCGGCUAACUACGUGCCAGCAGCCGCGGUAAUACGUAGGGGGCAAGCGUUAUCCGGAUUUACUGGGUGUAAAGGGAGCGUAGACGGCAUGGCAAGUCUGAAGUGAAAGCCCGGGGCUCAACCCCGGGACUGCUUUGGAAACUGUCAGGCUAGAGUGCUGGAGAGGUAAGUGGAAUUCCUAGUGUAGCGGUGAAAUGCGUAGAUAUUAGGAGGAACACCAGUGGCGAAGGCGGCUUACUGGACAGUGACUGACGUUGAGGCUCGAAAGCGUGGGGAGCAAACAGG
This 405-nucleotide ribosomal RNA is filed under the name uncultured bacterium. Its description in RNAcentral is "bacterial SSU rRNA". It matches the Rfam family "Bacterial small subunit ribosomal RNA", at positions 354 to 776 of the family's 1533-position model. The record is from RNAcentral.